UUUUAUAUUUUUCAGACAAUUUCCUAUGCUGUUGAUCCUCAAGUAACACGGUUGUACAAUUAUUAUGCAAGUUGUAUCAAAGAAUUUAAUGUACAGGAAUGGACACCGGAAGUAUGUAAAUGUGUAAUGGAAAAGGACAAAGUGAUCGACGAACAAGGUUUAAUCAACAAAGAAAAACUUUAUGCUAAUCUUGAUAAACUCAUUUCCGAUCCGGCCAAGUUGAAGGAAGCAAAAGACAUCACCACCACAUGUCUUCCGCAAGCCCAAUCAGGAAGCAAUGAUGAAAAGACUAUGUCGCUUAUACGGUGCGCAGUACAUGUAACAAAGCUAUUUGAUAAGCCUGAAUAAAGGAAGAAAGUACAUUUUUUC
This is a long non-coding RNA of Camponotus floridanus (Florida carpenter ant), 369 nucleotides long. RefSeq lists it as uncharacterized. The transcript is spliced from 4 exons. The record is from RefSeq and is a predicted model, not a curated record. NCBI's taxonomy places the organism in Eukaryota, Metazoa, Arthropoda, Insecta, Hymenoptera, Formicidae.